RNAcentral lists this ribosomal RNA (492 nucleotides) under uncultured bacterium. RNAcentral describes it as "partial 16S ribosomal RNA". It matches the Rfam family "Bacterial small subunit ribosomal RNA", at positions 29 to 507 of the family's 1533-position model. The record is from RNAcentral.
AGUGAACGCUGGCGGUAGGCCUAACACAUGCAAGUCGAACGGCAGCACAGUAAGAGCUUGCUCUUACGGGUGGCGAGUGGCGGACGGGUGAGGAAUACAUCGGAAUCUACUUUUUCGUGGGGGAUAACGUAGGGAAACUUACGCUAAUACCGCAUACGACCUACGGGUGAAAGCAGGGGAUCUUCGGACCUUGCGCGAUUGAAUGAGCCGAUGUCGGAUUAGCUAGUUGGCGGGGUAAAGGCCCACCAAGGCGACGAUCCGUAGCUGGUCUGAGAGGAUGAUCAGCCACACUGGAACUGAGACACGGUCCAGACUCCUACGGGAGGCAGCAGUGGGGAAUAUUGGACAAUGGGCGCAAGCCUGAUCCAGCCAUACCGCGUGGGUGAAGAAGGCUUUCGGGUUGUAAAGCCCUUUUGUUGGGAAAGAAAAGCAGCAGGUUAACACCCCGCUGUUCUGACGGUACCCAAAGAAUAAGCACCGGCUAACUUCGUG